This 464-nucleotide ribosomal RNA is filed under the name uncultured bacterium. RNAcentral describes it as "partial 16S ribosomal RNA". It matches the Rfam family "Bacterial small subunit ribosomal RNA", at positions 338 to 795 of the family's 1533-position model. The record is from RNAcentral.
CCUACGGGAGGCAGCAGUGGGGAAUAUUGCGCAAUGGGCGAAAGCCUGACGCAGCGACGCCGCGUGAGGGAUGCAGGUCUUCGGAUCGUAAACCUCUGUCAGCAGGGAAGAACGGUCACUGUGCUAAUCAGCAGUGAAUUGACGGUACCUGCAAAGGAAGCAUCGGCUAACUCCGUGCCAGCAGCCGCGGUAAUACGGAGGAUGCGAGCGUUAUCCGGAUUUAUUGGGUUUAAAGGGUGCGUAGGCGGGAUACCAAGUCAGCGGUAAAAAUGCGGUGCUCAACGCCGUCGAGGCGUUGAAACUGGCGUUCUUGAGUGGGCGAGAAGUAUGCGGAAUGCGUGGUGUAGCGGUGAAAUGCAUAGAUAUCACGCAGAACUCCGAUUGCGAAGGCAGCAUACCGGCGCCCUACUGACGCUGAGGCACGAAAGCGUGGGUAUCGAACAGGAUUAGAUACCCCAGUAGUC